RNAcentral lists this unclassified non-coding RNA (343 nucleotides) under Limnodrilus hoffmeisteri complex sp. X. Its description in RNAcentral is "internal transcribed sapcer 2". Lineage: Eukaryota; Metazoa; Annelida; Clitellata; Tubificida; Naididae. The record is from RNAcentral.
GUUGAACGUAUCAAUCGUCGGUCGUCCGAACAAUGCCGACGCAUUGGAUCGUCGAGGCGCGGGUGAACGAUACCCGCAAGGGGGUUCGAGCGGCGGGCGCUUCGCGGCGUCCGUCGUCUCGAGCUGCUCGCGCCUCGUCGUCCGAAGACCAGAAGGGACCGCGCGACCACGCCGGCCGCACGUCCGAAGUCCGCUGGCGGACGGGGACGGCGACUCGGAGGACAGAGAGACCGAUCGGCCGUCGCCCGCCGUGGCGGCUCGGUCGGCGUGGAAGCGAAGGACCCAGCGCACACGAAGCUCUAUCGGCGGGCUGCCGCACACGGCCGGCGGCCCCCGCAGACUU